This 272-nucleotide unclassified non-coding RNA is filed under the name uncultured fungus. Its description in RNAcentral is "partial contains small subunit ribosomal RNA, internal transcribed spacer 1, and 5.8S ribosomal RNA". The stretch from base 1 to 73 matches the Rfam family "Eukaryotic small subunit ribosomal RNA", at positions 1759 to 1831 of the family's 1831-position model. The record is from RNAcentral. Lineage: Eukaryota; Fungi.
CCAAACUUGGUCAUUUAGAGGAAGUAAAAGUCGUAACAAGGUCUCCGUAGGUGAACCUGCGGAGGGAUCAUUACUGAGUGAGGGCCUCCGCGCCCGACCUCCAACCCCAUUGUUAUCCGACCCUGUUGCCUCGGGGGUGACCCGGCCUUCGGGUUCGGGGCCCCCGGUGGACCCCAACCAAAACACUGCAUCUUUGCGUCGGAGUGAUCAACGAAUCAAUCAAAACUUUCAACAACGGAUCUCUUGGUUCUGGCAUCGAUGAAGAACGCAGC